GGGUUGUGAGGUUAAGCGACUAAGCGUACACGGUGGAUGCCCUGGCAGUCAGAGGCGAUGAAGGACGUGCUAAUCUGCGAUAAGCGUCGGUAAGGUGAUAUGAACCGUUAUAACCGGCGAUUUCCGAAUGGGGAAACCCAGUGUGAUUCGUCACACUAUCAUUAACUGAAUCCAUAGGUUAAUGAGGCGAACCGGGGGAACUGAAACAUCUAAGUACCCCGAGGAAAAGAAAUCAACCGAGAUUCCCCCAGUAGCGGCGAGCGAACGGGGAGCAGCCCAGAGCCUGAAUCAGUGUGUGUGUUAGUGGAAGCGUCUGGAAAGGCGUGCGAUACAGGGUGACAGCCCCGUACACAAAAAUGCACAUACUGUGAGCUCGAUGAGUAGGGCGGGACACGUGGUAUCCUGUCUGAAUAUGGGGGGACCAUCCUCCAAGGCUAAAUACUCCUGACUGACCGAUAGUGAACCAGUACCGUGAGGGAAAGGCGAAAAGAACCCCGGCGAGGGGAGUGAAAAAGAACCUGAAACCGUGUACGUACAAGCAGUGGGAGCACGCUUAGGCGUGUGACUGCGUACCUUUUGUAUAAUGGGUCAGCGACUUAUAUUCUGUAGCAAGGUUAACCGAAUAGGGGAGCCGAAGGGAAACCGAGUCUUAACUGGGCGUUAAGUUGCAGGGUAUAGACCCGAAACCCGGUGAUCUAGCCAUGGGCAGGUUGAAGGUUGGGUAACACUAACUGGAGGACCGAACCGACUAAUGUUGAAAAAUUAGCGGAUGACUUGUGGCUGGGGGUGAAAGGCCAAUCAAACCGGGAGAUAGCUGGUUCUCCCCGAAAGCUAUUUAGGUAGCGCCUCGUGAAUUCAUCUCCGGGGGUAGAGCACUGUUUCGGCAAGGGGGUCAUCCCGACUUACCAACCCGAUGCAAACUGCGAAUACCGGAGAAUGUUAUUACGGGAGACACACGGCGGGUGCUAACGUCCGUCGUGAAGAGGGAAACAACCCAGACCGCCAGCUAAGGUCCCAAAGUCAUGGUUAAGUGGGAAACGAUGUGGGAAGGCCCAGACAGCCAGGAUGUUGGCUUAGAAGCAGCCAUCAUUUAAAGAAAGCGUAAUAGCUCACUGGUCGAGUCGGCCUGCGCGGAAGAUGUAACGGGGCUAAACCAUGCACCGAAGCUGCGGCAGCGACGCUUAUGCGUUGUUGGGUAGGGGAGCGUUCUGUAAGCCUGUGAAGGUGUGCUGUGAGGUAUGCUGGAGGUAUCAGAAGUGCGAAUGCUGACAUAAGUAACGAUAAAGCGGGUGAAAAGCCCGCUCGCCGGAAGACCAAGGGUUCCUGUCCAACGUUAAUCGGGGCAGGGUGAGUCGACCCCUAAGGCGAGGCCGAAAGGCGUAGUCGAUGGGAAACAGGUUAAUAUUCCUGUACUUGGUGUUACUGCGAAGGGGGACGGAGAAGGCUAUGUUGGCCGGGCGACGGUUGUCCCGGUUUAAGCGUGUAGGCUGGUUUUCCAGGCAAAUCCGGAAAAUCAAGGCCGAGGCGUGAUGACGAGGCACUACGGUGCUGAAGCAACAAAUGCCCUGCUUCCAGGAAAAGCCUCUAAGCAUCAGGUAACAUCAAAUCGUACCCCAAACCGACACAGGUGGUCAGGUAGAGAAUACCAAGGCGCUUGAGAGAACUCGGGUGAAGGAACUAGGCAAAAUGGUGCCGUAACUUCGGGAGAAGGCACGCUGAUACGUAGGUGAAGCGACUUGCUCGUGGAGCUGAAAUCAGUCGAAGAUACCAGCUGGCUGCAACUGUUUAUUAAAAACACAGCACUGUGCAAACACGAAAGUGGACGUAUACGGUGUGACGCCUGCCCGGUGCCGGAAGGUUAAUUGAUGGGGUUAGCGCAAGCGAAGCUCUUGAUCGAAGCCCCGGUAAACGGCGGCCGUAACUAUAACGGUCCUAAGGUAGCGAAAUUCCUUGUCGGGUAAGUUCCGACCUGCACGAAUGGCGUAAUGAUGGCCAGGCUGUCUCCACCCGAGACUCAGUGAAAUUGAACUCGCUGUGAAGAUGCAGUGUACCCGCGGCAAGACGGAAAGACCCCGUGAACCUUUACUAUAGCUUGACACUGAACAUUGAGCCUUGAUGUGUAGGAUAGGUGGGAGGCUUUGAAGUGUGGACGCCAGUCUGCAUGGAGCCGACCUUGAAAUACCACCCUUUAAUGUUUGAUGUUCUAACGUGGACCCGUGAUCCGGGUUGCGGACAGUGUCUGGUGGGUAGUUUGACUGGGGCGGUCUCCUCCUAAAGAGUAACGGAGGAGCACGAAGGUUGGCUAAUCCUGGUCGGACAUCAGGAGGUUAGUGCAAUGGCAUAAGCCAGCUUGACUGCGAGCGUGACGGCGCGAGCAGGUGCGAAAGCAGGUCAUAGUGAUCCGGUGGUUCUGAAUGGAAGGGCCAUCGCUCAACGGAUAAAAGGUACUCCGGGGAUAACAGGCUGAUACCGCCCAAGAGUUCAUAUCGACGGCGGUGUUUGGCACCUCGAUGUCGGCUCAUCACAUCCUGGGGCUGAAGUAGGUCCCAAGGGUAUGGCUGUUCGCCAUUUAAAGUGGUACGCGAGCUGGGUUUAGAACGUCGUGAGACAGUUCGGUCCCUAUCUGCCGUGGGCGCUGGAGAACUGAGGGGGGCUGCUCCUAGUACGAGAGGACCGGAGUGGACGCAUCACUGGUGUUCGGGUUGUCAUGCCAAUGGCACUGCCCGGUAGCUAAAUGCGGAAGAGAUAAGUGCUGAAAGCAUCUAAGCACGAAACUUGCCCCGAGAUGAGUUCUCCCUGACCCUUUAAGGGUCCUGAAGGAACGUUGAAGACGACGACGUUGAUAGGCCGGGUGUGUAAGCGCAGCGAUGCGUUGAGCUAACCGGUACUAAUGAACCGUGAGGCUUAACCUUACAACGCCGAAG
This 2924-nucleotide ribosomal RNA is filed under the name Shigella flexneri. RNAcentral describes it as "23S ribosomal RNA". It matches the Rfam family "Bacterial large subunit ribosomal RNA". The record is from RNAcentral. Lineage: Bacteria; Pseudomonadati; Pseudomonadota; Gammaproteobacteria; Enterobacterales; Enterobacteriaceae.